GCACUUCCGUGCGCGAGGAGGGAAGAUCGUGGCUGAGUGCGGGUGGCCUGGGCGGAAGGCUCAGCGGGGACAGGUUGGGCCGCAGCUUUGCUGUGCUGUGCCGUGCGACGCCCUCCGCAGGAGCGCGCAAAGUGUUAGCCACGGCGCCAAGCAAGCUGGACGUGCGUGCAUGAGCGCGCUCGGACUGACAGGGAAGCGAAAAGGGGGCCAGGGCGCACCAUAGAAAAGCCGCGGCAGAAACGUACGACACAGCCCGAGGCGGCGGGGGCGAGAGCUCCGG
RNAcentral lists this long non-coding RNA (280 nucleotides) under Homo sapiens (human). RNAcentral's name for it is "HSALNT0209155". Lineage: Eukaryota; Metazoa; Chordata; Mammalia; Primates; Hominidae. The record is from RNAcentral.